GGAGAGUUGGCAGAGUGGUAAUGCAACGGACUCGAAAUCCGUCGAACCGGGUCAUUCCGGCGCGCAGGUUCAAAUCCUGUACUCUCCU
Molecule: transfer RNA, 88 nt
Rfam family: tRNA
About the family: Transfer RNA (tRNA) molecules are approximately 80 nucleotides in length. Their secondary structure includes four short double-helical elements and three loops (D, anti-codon, and T loops).
Source: Rfam